UGUGAAGAGUUCAGUUUCUAUGUUUAUUAUCUAGCUAAUAUCUGAUGGUGAAACGCUGUGCGUGGGGUACCUGUAAUUCGGACACCAGGUACCCUAAAAGACUGGAUGGAGGAGUAUAUUUCGUACCUUUUCCGAAGCCCAAAAGAAAACUCAACAAAUGCAAGCGGUGGAUUAUGCUGUGUCGUCGACCACAUAGCACAUACACAACUGAAUGUGAAGACAAUUACCAAGGACACUUAUUAUUGCUCAAAGCACUUCAGAGAUGGGAAGCCAACUCUGGAAUAUCCAGAUCCCAUCCGGGCUCUCGUGUGUGCUGCUCCGAAAAGACACAGACCCUCAACCA
This is a long non-coding RNA of Gymnodraco acuticeps, 343 nucleotides long. RefSeq lists it as uncharacterized. NCBI's taxonomy places the organism in Eukaryota, Metazoa, Chordata, Actinopteri, Perciformes, Bathydraconidae. The record is from RefSeq and is a predicted model, not a curated record. The transcript has 2 exons.